UACGUAGGGUGCGAGCGUUGUCCGGAAUUAUUGGGCGUAAAGAGCUCGUAGGCGGUCUGUCGCGUCGGUCGUGAAAACUUGGGGCUUAACCCUGAGCUUGCGGUCGAUACGGGCAUGACUGGAGUUCGGCAGGGGAGACUGGAAUUCCUGGUGUAGCGGUGAAAUGCGCAGAUAUCUGGAGGAACACCGGUGGCGAAGGCGACAUCCUGGACCGGUAUUGACGCUGAGGCGCGAAAGCCAGGGGAGCAAACGGG
This 254-nucleotide ribosomal RNA is filed under the name uncultured bacterium. Its description in RNAcentral is "partial 16S ribosomal RNA". It matches the Rfam family "Bacterial small subunit ribosomal RNA", at positions 524 to 776 of the family's 1533-position model. The record is from RNAcentral.